GAUGGGUCGGCAUAUUCUCUAACAUGUAGUGUUUUGAUGAUUUCUCGCAUUUAGGUUUCAUUGUUUGGAAAUCAUGGAGUAUCUCUUCUGAUUUGCUGCUUCUGUUCCUUUGGUUUUUUGUGUUUUGACUUUUUAUUGAAAAGAUUUUGGGUCUGUUCGAUCUGUGUGCUUAGAUUCAUUUUGGGCUGCUGUUUUUAGUUGGUGAUGUUUUCCGUUUUUCUGAUUUCUAUUGCAUGUUCAGUUUUGUGCUUUAUUUUGGAACUUUGUAGUGUUCCUUCUUGUUUGCUAUUUUUUUUUACCUUUUUGGAUUUAAAAAAUUGCACUUAUCUUUGGAUUUUCUGCAUAAAUUAAUUACUGUCUUUCUUUUGUAGCUUGAUUUCUCUUAAUUUAUCGAUUCAAAAUCCUCGUAGAGUUGGUGUAAAGAGUAAAUAUUCAUUUGGUUUUGUUAUCCCCAGGACAGCUAAAGGGUUAGUGAAAGAGUGGUCUCAUUACCCUACCCACAGUCAAAGGGUAUAGUAUGUAAGAAAGCAUCAAUUCGUUAAUGGGGCUCUUCUAAAAAACCGUUGAGAUGCGAAAGAUGUAAUACUCGUUGAACAUUCCCUAUGAAUUGAGGAGAUGUUGCUUUUCAACUCAAACUUCGAUGGUACCCAAAGCAAUCAUGUAUAUUGUGAUUUUGAGAGUUGGGUUUUGUUCUUCAAUGGGCAGUUGCCACUUGCUAGAGUUCAUGGCAAAGCCUAGCUUGAAGUUGAAUCCGCCCAAAUACCACCUGCCCAACAAGGACAUAGCAAUCGAACCAUUGCGAAUGAAGAAAAAUGGCAUCAUUAGGUGUUUGUGGGUAUUUGUUGCAUAUGUUUGGGUUUUGAGUAGGUCGAGAGCCCCAAGUUUGAAUUUAAUGUCAUCUGGUUUCACCUCCAUCAUUCUUUCUUCACCUCAUCGAGAGAAAUUUGGAGACGAAGCUUUCAAAAGGACCAUGGAUAGCUACAGCAGCCAUUGCAGACCCUGAAAAUCUCCCUUGAUCUAGUUCAUCACAUCUGCUUCUCUGUAUCCAAUUUUGAAUCAUUUGUUCACACGCUUGAGGAAGAAGGAUCUUGGUAGAUACAAAUAUGUUGAUGGACAUGUAUCUAACAAUUACCAGAAAUCCACCCUCUCUGCAUCGGUAGUAGUCAAUAAAUUUACACUUCCAUGUCCUAGAAUUUGAUCAAGAAAAUAAGAAUCGUCU
Long non-coding RNA from Rhododendron vialii, 1219 nucleotides. RefSeq lists it as uncharacterized. NCBI's taxonomy places the organism in Eukaryota, Viridiplantae, Streptophyta, Magnoliopsida, Ericales, Ericaceae. The record is from RefSeq and is a predicted model, not a curated record. The transcript has 5 exons.